AUUUCUCUUAAUUUUAAUGAGUUGUGGACUAAUAUGGGCAAAAGCCUGACGGAGCAAUGCCGCGUGAAGGUAGAAGGCCCAAGGGUCAUGAACAUAUUUUCUCGGAGAAGAAGAAAUGACGAUAUUCGAGGAAUAAGCAUCAGCAAACUCUAUGUCAACAGUCCCGGUAAGACAUCGGAUGCAAAUGUUAUCCAGAAUGAUUGGGCGUAAAGAGUAUGUAGGUGGCUUUUCAAGUCCGACGUCAAAUCCUAUGGCUCAACCCUGGACAGGCGGUGGAAACUACCAAGCUAGAGUAUGGUAGGGGCAGAGAGAAUUUCUGGUGGAGCGGUGAAAUAUGUAGAGAUCGGAAAGAACACCAACGGCGAAAACAUUCUGCUGGGCCAACACUAACACUGAGAGAUGAAAGCUAGGGGAGCGAAUGGGAUUAGAUACCCUAGUAGUCCCAGCCGUAAACGAUGGAUACUGGGUGUUGUGCGUAUCGACCGAUAUUGCUCAUCAUCGUUUAGCCAUUGCAUUUGUUUUUUCGGACGAAGCAGUAUCUUGUACCUGCGAUUAGAAGUGUUGUUAAUUUCAGUU
Molecule: non-coding RNA, 576 nt
Organism: Amborella trichopoda
Lineage: Eukaryota; Viridiplantae; Streptophyta; Magnoliopsida; Amborellales; Amborellaceae
Source: Rfam